UGAACGCUGGCGGCGUGCCUAAUACAUGCAAGUCGAGCGAACAGACGAGGAGCUUGCUCCUCUGACGUUAGCGGCGGACGGGUGAGUAACACGUGGAUAACCUACCUAUAAGACUGGGAUAACUUCGGGAAACCGGAGCUAAUACCGGAUAAUAUAUUGAACCGCAUGGUUCAAUAGUGAAAGACGGUUUUGCUGUCACUUAUAGAUGGAUCCGCGCCGCAUUAGCUAGUUGGUAAGGUAACGGCUUACCAAGGCAACGAUGCGUAGCCGACCUGAGAGGGUGAUCGGCCACACUGGAACUGAGACACGGUCCAGACUCCUACGGGAGGCAGCAGUAGGGAAUCUUCCGCAAUGGGCGAAAGCUUGACGGAGCAACGCCGCGUGAGUGAUGAAGGUCUUCGGAUCGUAAAACUCUGUUAUUAGGGAAGAACAAAUGUGUAAGUAACUAUGCACGUCUUGACGGUACCUAAUCAGAAAGCCACGGCUAACUACGU
This 494-nucleotide ribosomal RNA is filed under the name uncultured bacterium. RNAcentral describes it as "partial 16S ribosomal RNA". It matches the Rfam family "Bacterial small subunit ribosomal RNA", at positions 30 to 506 of the family's 1533-position model. The record is from RNAcentral.